AAAUACCUCAAAAUGAAUUCUAUGAAGUGCUGUUUGAUAUAUAAUAUUAUGAAGGGCCCGCGUUUGGAGAUGUCUCAAAAAAAAACUAGAGCUUAUUAUUUGGAUAUGAAAAUUUAGUUUUCGACAAUGCUACAAGAUACUAAAGGAUUGGAUUCUACGUCUCGGUUUAAAUCCUAAAUUGCCUCGAAUAACAUAUGUGAUUAAUAUGAAAGAAUAUCAAGAGGGUUUUAACAGCAAAACAAGGAAUAAAUGAAAGGU
Molecule: long non-coding RNA, 258 nt
Organism: Ctenocephalides felis (cat flea)
Lineage: Eukaryota; Metazoa; Arthropoda; Insecta; Siphonaptera; Pulicidae
Exons: 3
Source: RefSeq, a predicted model, not a curated record